RNAcentral lists this ribosomal RNA (2930 nucleotides) under Escherichia coli. RNAcentral's name for it is "bacterial LSU rRNA". It matches the Rfam family "Bacterial large subunit ribosomal RNA". The record is from RNAcentral. Lineage: Bacteria; Pseudomonadati; Pseudomonadota; Gammaproteobacteria; Enterobacterales; Enterobacteriaceae.
GGGUUGUGAGGUUAAGCGACUAAGCGUACACGGUGGAUGCCCUGGCAGUCAGAGGCGAUGAAGGACGUGCUAAUCUGCGAUAAGCGUCGGUAAGGUGAUAUGAACCGUUAUAACCGGCGAUUUCCGAAUGGGGAAACCCAGUGUGUUUCGACACACUAUCAUUAACUGAAUCCAUAGGUUAAUGAGGCGAACCGGGGGAACUGAAACAUCUAAGUACCCCGAGGAAAAGAAAUCAACCGAGAUUCCCCCAGUAGCGGCGAGCGAACGGGGAGCAGCCCAGAGCCUGAAUCAGUGUGUGUGUUAGUGGAAGCGUCUGGAAAGGCGCGCGAUACAGGGUGACAGCCCCGUACACAAAAAUGCACAUAUUGUGAGCUCGAUGAGUAGGGCGGGACACGUGGUAUCCUGUCUGAAUAUGGGGGGACCAUCCUCCAAGGCUAAAUACUCCUGACUGACCGAUAGUGAACCAGUACCGUGAGGGAAAGGCGAAAAGAACCCCGGCGAGGGGAGUGAAAAAGAACCUGAAACCGUGUACGUACAAGCAGUGGGAGCACGCUUAGGCGUGUGACUGCGUACCUUUUGUAUAAUGGGUCAGCGACUUAUAUUCUGUAGCAAGGUUAACCGAAUAGGGGAGCCGAAGGGAAACCGAGUCUUAACUGGGCGUUAAGUUGCAGGGUAUAGACCCGAAACCCGGUGAUCUAGCCAUGGGCAGGUUGAAGGUUGGGUAACACUAACUGGAGGACCGAACCGACUAAUGUUGAAAAAUUAGCGGAUGACUUGUGGCUGGGGGUGAAAGGCCAAUCAAACCGGGAGAUAGCUGGUUCUCCCCGAAAGCUAUUUAGGUAGCGCCUCGUGAAUUCAUCUCCGGGGGUAGAGCACUGUUUCGGCAAGGGGGUCAUCCCGACUUACCAACCCGAUGCAAACUGCGAAUACCGGAGAAUGUUAUCACGGGAGACACACGGCGGGUGCUAACGUCCGUCGUGAAGAGGGAAACAACCCAGACCGCCAGCUAAGGUCCCAAAGUCAUGGUUAAGUGGGAAACGAUGUGGGAAGGCCCAGACAGCCAGGAUGUUGGCUUAGAAGCAGCCAUCAUUUAAAGAAAGCGUAAUAGCUCACUGGUCGAGUCGGCCUGCGCGGAAGAUGUAACGGGGCUAAACCAUGCACCGAAGCUGCGGCAGCGACGCUUAUGCGUUGUUGGGUAGGGGAGCGUUCUGUAAGCCUGUGAAGGUGUGCUGUGAGGCAUGCUGGAGGUAUCAGAAGUGCGAAUGCUGACAUAAGUAACGAUAAAGCGGGUGAAAAGCCCGCUCGCCGGAAGACCAAGGGUUCCUGUCCAACGUUAAUCGGGGCAGGGUGAGUCGACCCCUAAGGCGAGGCCGAAAGGCGUAGUCGAUGGGAAACAGGUUAAUAUUCCUGUACUUGGUGUUACUGCGAAGGGGGGACGGAGAAGGCUAUGUUGGCCGGGCGACGGUUGUCCCGGUUUAAGCGUGUAGGCUGGUUUUCCAGGCAAAUCCGGAAAAUCAAGGCUGAGGCGUGAUGACGAGGCACUACGGUGCUGAAGCAACAAAUGCCCUGCUUCCAGGAAAAGCCUCUAAGCAUCAGGUAACAUCAAAUCGUACCCCAAACCGACACAGGUGGUCAGGUAGAGAAUACCAAGGCGCUUGAGAGAACUCGGGUGAAGGAACUAGGCAAAAUGGUGCCGUAACUUCGGGAGAAGGCACGCUGAUAUGUAGGUGAAGUCCCUUGCGGAUGGAGCUGAAAUCAGUCGAAGAUACCAGCUGGCUGCAACUGUUUAUUAAAAACACAGCACUGUGCAAACACGAAAGUGGACGUAUACGGUGUGACGCCUGCCCGGUGCCGGAAGGUUAAUUGAUGGGGUCAGCGCAAGCGAAGCUCUUGAUCGAAGCCCCGGUAAACGGCGGCCGUAACUAUAACGGUCCUAAGGUAGCGAAAUUCCUUGUCGGGUAAGUUCCGACCUGCACGAAUGGCGUAAUGAUGGCCAGGCUGUCUCCACCCGAGACUCAGUGAAAUUGAACUCGCUGUGAAGAUGCAGUGUACCCGCGGCAAGACGGAAAGACCCCGUGAACCUUUACUAUAGCUUGACACUGAACAUUGAGCCUUGAUGUGUAGGAUAGGUGGGAGGCUUUGAAGUGUGGACGCCAGUCUGCAUGGAGCCGACCUUGAAAUACCACCCUUUAAUGUUUGAUGUUCUAACGUUGACCCCUAAUCGGGGUUGCGGACAGUGUCUGGUGGGUAGUUUGACUGGGGCGGUCUCCUCCUAAAGAGUAACGGAGGAGCACGAAGGUUGGCUAAUCCUGGUCGGACAUCAGGAGGUUAGUGCAAUGGCAUAAGCCAGCUUGACUGCGAGCGUGACGGCGCGAGCAGGUGCGAAAGCAGGUCAUAGUGAUCCGGUGGUUCUGAAUGGAAGGGCCAUCGCUCAACGGAUAAAAGGUACUCCGGGGAUAACAGGCUGAUACCGCCCAAGAGUUCAUAUCGACGGCGGUGUUUGGCACCUCGAUGUCGGCUCAUCACAUCCUGGGGCUGAAGUAGGUCCCAAGGGUAUGGCUGUUCGCCAUUUAAAGUGGUACGCGAGCUGGGUUUAGAACGUCGUGAGACAGUUCGGUCCCUAUCUGCCGUGGGCGCUGGAGAACUGAGGGGGGCUGCUCCUAGUACGAGAGGACCGGAGUGGACGCAUCACUGGUGUUCGGGUUGUCAUGCCAAUGGCACUGCCCGGUAGCUAAAUGCGGAAGAGAUAAGUGCUGAAAGCAUCUAAGCACGAAACUUGCCCCGAGAUGAGUUCUCCCUGACUCCUUGAGAGUCCUGAAGGAACGUUGAAGACGACGACGUUGAUAGGCCGGGUGUGUAAGCGCAGCGAUGCGUUGAGCUAACCGGUACUAAUGAACCGUGAGGCUUAACCUUACAACGCCGAAGCUGUU